Molecule: ribosomal RNA, 318 nt
Filed under: Aperostoma palmeri
Lineage: Eukaryota; Metazoa; Mollusca; Gastropoda; Architaenioglossa; Cyclophoridae
Description: eukaryotic LSU rRNA
Rfam family: Eukaryotic large subunit ribosomal RNA
Source: RNAcentral
CCAAGGAGUCUAACAUGCGCGCAAGUCGUUGGGUGAUACGAAACCUGAAGGCGAAGUGAAAGCGAGGGUGCAGAAUCCUGUUCUGUGCUCAGGUGGGAUCCCGCCUCUGUCAGAGGGGGCGGGCGCACCACCGGCCCGUCUCGUUCGCGUCGUCGAUGAGGCGGAGCAAGAGCGUGCACGUUGGGACCCGAAAGAUGGUGAACUAUGCCUGAGUAGGACGAAGCCAGAGGAAACUCUGGUGGAGGUCCGCAGCGAUUCUGACGUGCAAAUCGAUCGUCAAACUUGGGUAUAGGGGCGAAAGACUAAUCGAACCAUCUA